UGAACGUCAUUCUAUGGGUUCCUGUGUCUCCUACGUACCCCUUGUGUUUGGAUUAUUAAGACUGUAGUUUGAUGCUAUCUCCGUGUCUCCUCGCGCCUUGCCUCCCGAGAAGUGUGACAGAAGGACCGACCAAAACAGUAACUUCCGUGUUUUCCCCUCCGUUUGUUUUCCGUUUUUUUCUCAGUGUUUUUCUUUCCGUUGUGUCCCCAUGGAUCCCUUCACUCGCCCCGAAUUCCUCCUCCUCCUGCUGGAGCAGGGAGACCAAGCUCUCGAGGGCCAUACCAAACUGUUCCUGUUGGUCACGAACAUCAUUAGUCAUCCGAAGAUGGUCCUCUAGAGGAAUUUGUCACUCGGCGGGUCGGGCAUCGACCCGCCAUCGCUUCUGGACUCCACUCCUCUGGCUGCGCCUCGUCACUCUGUCCCACCGGCUCCGUUGGGCUCCUUCUUCCCGCCAGCUCCACCUUGGGCCUCAGUCGCUCCGCCGUGGUUCUCCGGAUCUCCGCCACCGCCUUGGUCGCCAGAGUCCUCAGCUCCACCCUGGCCCCCGGGAUCCUCGGCAUCCCCCUGGCUCAUUGGCUCUCCGUCUCCGCCUCGGGCUCCUCCACCACCUGCUCCGCCGCCGUUGGUCUGCCCCCUGGAGUCGGUGGCCAUUCCUCCUCCAUGGCUCCUCCCUCCAUCGGCUCCACCAUGGGCCGCUGUUAUGGCUGUGGCCUGGGUCCUGCUGUGCUCUUCCUGCUCCGGGUCCCUCCUGUCUCCUCCCUGGACUCUGUCUGCCGGCCCCCUACCGGGCAUCCGUCCUCCUCCCUAGUUCCCACCCACUCCCCUCCCCAUGUUGUUUCUACGGUGCGAGGACGCACCUUCCAGGAGGAGGGAGUAAUGUCACGUCCCUGUACUCUGUGUUGUGUUUUCCCUCCCCAGGUGUGCCAUGUUCCCUUUUUAAUUAGUCAUUCCUUGCACCUGUGUUUUCCCAAUCACCCAGUGUUUAAAAGCCCCAGUCCUUUCAGUUAGUGUUUAUCGGUCCUUGAACGUCAUUCUAUGUGUUCCUGUGUCUCCUAUGUACCCC
RNAcentral lists this long non-coding RNA (1063 nucleotides) under Sinocyclocheilus grahami. RNAcentral describes it as "lncRNA (ENSSGRG00000020523.1)". The record is from RNAcentral. Lineage: Eukaryota; Metazoa; Chordata; Actinopteri; Cypriniformes; Cyprinidae.